CACAUAGUGGUCACCACGACCGGCAUCGCUGUCUGGCUGUUGCGGUUAAACCGUCCAUUCAUUUUCCAUGCGAUUUUGUCUGGGCGGGAUGGCAGGUAACUUGUUGGCUUGCUUGCGGUUCGCCGCUGGCUUUAGGUCUUCAGGUGUAAUUAGCUGACCGCAUCGGUUCUGUGCAGUAUGUCGGAGACGGCGGCUUGUGGUGUGUGCGUGCGUUCCAGUCGGUUGUCGUUUCCGGGUUUGGUCAUUAUGUUGCCUGUGUGUGCAGGCCUGGUGAUAUCUCGGGUGCGUUCGAUCGGCGGUUGCGUGCGUGUCACUAUAUCCAGGGCCAAUAGUCUGUGGUGUUGCGGUAGACUUUCCACCUGACCCGUCUUGAAACACGGACCAAGGAGAGUAACAUGUGCGCGAGUCAUUGGGCGUAACGAAACCCAAAGGCGAAGUGAAAGUGAAGGUCUGGCUUUGUCUGGACUGAGGUGAGAUCCUGUCGUUUCCCACGCGCGGUAUUACCAAGCAUCGAGCGGCAGGCGCAUCACCGGCCCGUCCCAUGGUGUGGUGACAUUCUUCGGAGUGUUCAUCACCGGGGCGGAGCAUGAGCGUACAUGUUGAGACCCGAAAGAUGGUGAACUA
RNAcentral lists this ribosomal RNA (624 nucleotides) under Pholeter gastrophilus. RNAcentral describes it as "eukaryotic LSU rRNA". It matches the Rfam family "Eukaryotic large subunit ribosomal RNA", at positions 477 to 833 of the family's 3401-position model. The record is from RNAcentral. Lineage: Eukaryota; Metazoa; Platyhelminthes; Trematoda; Plagiorchiida; Troglotrematidae.